This 435-nucleotide ribosomal RNA is filed under the name uncultured bacterium. Its description in RNAcentral is "partial 16S ribosomal RNA". It matches the Rfam family "Bacterial small subunit ribosomal RNA", at positions 28 to 507 of the family's 1533-position model. The record is from RNAcentral.
GAUGAACGCUGGCGGUAUGCUUAACACAUGCAAGUCGAACGGACUCUUCGGAGUUAGUGGCGGACGGGUGAGUAACGCGUGAGAAUCUGGCUUUGGGUUCGGGACAACCACUGGAAACGGUGGCUAAUACCGGAUGUGCCGAGAGGUAAAAGAGAAAUUGCCUGAAGAUGAGCUCGCGUCUGAUUAGCUAGUUGGUGAGGUAAAGGCUCACCAAGGCAGCGAUCAGUAGCUGGUCUGAGAGGAUGACCAGCCACACUGGGACUGAGACACGGCCCAGACUACUACGGGAGGCAGCAGUGGGGAAUUUUCCGCAAUGGGCGAAAGCCUGACGGAGCAAUACCGCGUGAGGGAAGAAGGCUCUUGGGGUGUAAACCUCUUUUCUUAGGGAAGAACAAAAUGACGGUACCUAAGGAAUCAGCAUCGGCUAACUCCGUG